RNAcentral lists this unclassified non-coding RNA (3010 nucleotides) under Leishmania donovani. RNAcentral describes it as "gene:LdHU3.19.0390(CDS-product:hypothetical_prote in_conserved)". Lineage: Eukaryota; Euglenozoa; Kinetoplastea; Trypanosomatida; Trypanosomatidae. The record is from RNAcentral.
AGACGAGUCGAACUGUUCGUUGGUUCGCUGCACUUCCCCCCCCCCCCCUCUCUUUGAGGAAGAGUCACCACUGCAAGAUCGCAUUGCUCAUCUCGCGAGGCCCACUGCUCUUGCCGACCCUCUCCUCGCUCCACGCUGGUAUAACCGUUCUCCAGCAACUGUCACCACCGUCGCACGAAUCGGUUAACCGAAGAGAACAGCAGAGUAACGGGUCAGUGCCUCCAUCCACUGCCUGCGCCGCGCCUUCCUCUUCUCCACAACACGUACGCCACAAUCGGCACACACUGUAGGCAACAAAGAAAAAAAAACAUUUUAAAGCGGUGUCGCCGCCCUCGCAAUGAUCGGUGGGGAAUACAAGAAGGAGCGGUUCAGCGAGCGCCUGACCAUGGCGCAGAACCAGCCCAAGAACCGCGGCUACCUGCCUGGGACACAUCUCAAGACGGGCGGCUAUGGCACCGGCACGCUGAUGGGCAACUGGAGUGAGGAGCGCUUCGACGCGGGGUACUACGACGGCAAGGCAGUUGUCGCGUCCAGUCUACGCCCGGUGUGGAGCACUGCGUACCGUGAGAUGGUGCAGAACGUCACGGCGCCUCCCGGCUUCGGUGCCUCCGCGUCCGCCGCUGGCAGCAGCAGCUGCGCGAGAGCCGGUCGCACACCCGCGGUCACCACGUGCGAUCGCACACAGUUCUCUCAGCAGACGUUUAUGGUCAUCGAGGACCGCACGGGGAGAUCUUACCCGUCCCACCAGCCCCAACUUGACCCUACGUGGCAGGAAGCCGUGCAGAGCAGCCACCAUAGCACUUUCCAGUCCUCCUACAUCCGCCCCGACGUGCGGCGGCAGGAGGCAAAGGCGUACGUGCCGCCGGUGCUGGGUGGCAAGCCGUCAUCGCAGUCCACCGGCGUCCUGCUGCGCCUUCGCCGGCAGCUAGAGCUGGCACAGGAGUCGCUGGACGGCCCCGCCGGUACGUGCACGGUCGUCUCCGCCUUUCCGGGCAACGUAAUCCGCUCCGUCCGCAAGGCGUUGGCCAAAGCCUGCACUGACCCCAACGGCAACGUUAACACUGACGAGCUGCAGGAAGGCUUCGCCGCGGCCGGUGUGACCGCAGCCCCGGCUGAGUGCGUGGCGCUGUUGCGCUACUUUGACCAUGAGGGCCAUCUCACGGCGCCGUACGUGUCGAUCGUCGAAGCCGUUCGAGGAGAGAUGAACGGCCGCCGUGCCGACCUUGUCGAAAGCGUCUACGGCCUGCUGCGCUCCUUCAGCCCUGACGGUGUUGUCCGCCUUGACAAGCUGGUUGAGUGGGUUGACGUGGAACAGCUGCCGGCAGUACAGUCGGGCUCCGUGAGCGCGGACGCGGCGCGCGCCGCCUUCGCUGCCCAGUGGGAUGCCCGCACGCCAACAGCGCACAUCACGCAGGCCCGCUUCGCCGACUUCUUUGCCGACGCGUCCUUCGAGAUUCCACUGGACAACACGUUUGAGCUGACACUGCGCAAUAUUUGGCACAUGAGCGGCGGCCGCGGCAACUGCGAGAACACGUCCUGCCGGCGGGUGGAGGUGGUGCACACGAACGGGCGAGUGACCAAGGAAGAGAUCAAGAACGACCUGCUUAUAAAGAACAACGACGACGAAGCUGCCUUGGAUUCGCUGCUGCGCGCAAACUUGGCGAUGCAGGGCAUCAAAGAUGUCAAGUCUGUUCGUGUGGUGUCACCCAUCUGAGCCAUCGUGGUGCGAUGUGGCCACCCGAGACCUAUGGCCACGGCCGAUGACGCGCUGCUGAAAUUGCUGUGAUACUCGCCUGUCCCCUUCUCGGUGCAGGCGCCUGAUCAACGGCGUUUUUCUCUUUCCUGCAAGGGGCGACGGUUCUCAAGACGGAUGGUUUCCAUGCACAAUGUUUUACACGUGAUAGCGGUGGCGGCACCGCCAACGCGAGUCACGUCGCUUGCGCAUCACCGGAGAAGUAAUCAAGCGAGGGAGACAAGGAAGCAAAGAGUGGGGGGGGUGAAUGGUGGCGGCUGACAACCGAUGGGUGAUGAUCGUCAAGGACGCCGUCGCUUCGUUGCACUUUUCUUCAUCCGCAGUCGUCUAUCGCUUUCUUUUGUUCUUCGCACAUCGGACCCCCCCCUCCAAAAAAAAAAUGAAUGGCAACGUGUUCUCUCUCAAAGUCCGUUUCACGCCUCCGUGUGUGUAUAUGUGCAGCUGGCCCGCGGUCAAGCGAGGUUGGUGGCGUUACCGGCGUUGGUACCCUCCCCGUGUGCUUGCAUGUGAAAGACGGAGGGAGCGAGAGCGAGAGAGAUGGAGAUGUAUGUACAUUAAAGCACGGGCGCGCAUACACACAUACACAUACACAUGUAUGCGUAUGAGCGUGUAUAUGAUGCUCCCCUAUGGCGUCGUUUUUCCCCUUCUUCCGUCUUGGUGACGAGAUGGACUGUUGAUCGCACGGGAAGCACCGGACCCACGCGCACAAGAAACGGGCAGCACACCCAACAGCAGCAACAAAAAAAAACACAGUAACUGGUGGCGCCUUUUCGCUCUGCGCACACACGGGGAGAAGGGCGACGAUGAAUCAUGAGAGACGAAGAAGUCUCAGUGGCUGCGUGGAUAUGUGCUGUGGAGUAGAGAGAGGUGGAGGCUUAGGGCGAAAGGAUAUGCUUGCGCUACUAACGUCGCGAGUACGGCGGAGGCGGGUCAAGGCACCUUUCACUCGACAGUCCUUCACCGCCUGCGAGCGGGUGCAACAUCCAGCCAUUUUGAGGAGGCGCGCGUACACAUAUCCAUCGUUAGGGACCAGCUUGCAUGGCGGUGCCCACGCGCGAGCGUAAAACGAAACCCCCACGCCUUACGUAUUACCGCUGUCUUUCCAUCUUCUCUGGCCACUCGCCCCCUCAGUUUUACUUGUCGCUGCGCCUCCCUUCCCUUGCAUCCACUCCUCUUUUCCUCCUGCCGACACCCGCGGCAUCGCCUCUCACGGCUUGAGCACGGCCGACACGCGUGCUGCACCGCAAACGGCGAGAG